GGGCUGCUAGCUAAAAUUACCGAC
RNAcentral lists this microRNA (24 nucleotides) under Ananas comosus (pineapple). RNAcentral's name for it is "microRNA s0201_c072". The record is from RNAcentral. Lineage: Eukaryota; Viridiplantae; Streptophyta; Magnoliopsida; Poales; Bromeliaceae.